RNAcentral lists this small nuclear RNA (285 nucleotides) under Heterocephalus glaber (naked mole-rat). RNAcentral's name for it is "7SK RNA". It matches the Rfam family "7SK RNA". From Rfam's summary of the family: 7SK was discovered as an abundant small nuclear RNA in the mid-70s but a possible function has only recently been suggested. Two independent studies have found that 7SK RNA binds the CDK9/cyclin T complex (known as elongation factor P-TEFb). Lineage: Eukaryota; Metazoa; Chordata; Mammalia; Rodentia; Bathyergidae. The record is from Rfam by way of RNAcentral.
GGGUGUGAGGGUGAUCUGGCUGUGGCGUCUAUUGCCCCACUGAUUGAACAUCAGGGUCGAUUCAGCUGAUCUGGCUGGCCAGGCAGGUGUCCCCUUCCUCCCUCACUGCUCCGUGUGCGUCCCUCCCGAAGCUGCAAAGUUGAGGUUGAGGAGGAUGACCACCCUAGGUCAAGGGUAUACAAGUAGCUGUGCUUCCCUGCGAGAACCUUCAAACGAGCUCUCAAAGUAUGGGCUAAAGAAUCACUAGAGAUACUCAAAAUCUUUUCAGCCUGGGUGGCAACAAAA